RNAcentral lists this ribosomal RNA (503 nucleotides) under uncultured bacterium. RNAcentral's name for it is "partial 16S ribosomal RNA". It matches the Rfam family "Bacterial small subunit ribosomal RNA", at positions 30 to 523 of the family's 1533-position model. The record is from RNAcentral.
AUUGAACGCUGGCGGCAGGCUUAACACAUGCAAGUCGAGCGGGGUGAUGGUGCUUGCACUAGCACUUAGCGGCGGACGGGUGAGUAAUGCUUAGGAAUCUGCCUAUUAGUGGGGGACAACAUCUCGAAAGGGACGCUAAUACCGCAUACGUCCUACGGGAGAAAGCAGGGGAUCACUUGUGACCUUGCGCUAAUAGAUGAGCCUAAGUCGGAUUAGCUAGUUGGUGGGGUAAAGGCCUACCAAGGCGACGAUCUGUAGCGGGUCUGAGAGGAUGGUCCGCCACACUGGGACUGAGACACGGCCCAGGCUCCUACGGGAGGCAGCAGUGGGGAAUAUUGGACAAUGGGGGGAACCCUGAUCCAGCCAUGCCGCGUGUGUGAAGAAGGCCUUAUGGCUGUAAAGCACUUUAAGCGAGGAGGAGGCUCUUUUGGUUAAUACCCAAGAUGAGUGGACGUUACUCGCAGAAUAAGCACCGGCUAACUCUGUGCCAGCCGCCGCAGUAA